Molecule: ribosomal RNA, 447 nt
Filed under: Aeribacillus sp. F02D010
Lineage: Bacteria; Bacillati; Bacillota; Bacilli; Caryophanales; Bacillaceae
Description: bacterial SSU rRNA
Rfam family: Bacterial small subunit ribosomal RNA
Source: RNAcentral
GCGGCGGACGGGUGAGUCACACGUGGGCAACCUGCCCUGCAGACUGGGAUAACUUCGGGAAACCGGAUCUAAUACCGGAUAACACCGAAAACCGCAUGGUUUUCGGUUGAAAGGCGGCUUUUAGCUGUCACUGCAGGAUGGGCCCGCGGCGCAUUAGCUAGUUGGUGAGGUAACGGCUCACCAAGGCGACGAUGCGUAGCCGACCUGAGAGGGUGACCGGCCACACUGGGACUGAGACACGGCCCAGACUCCUACGGGAGGCAGCAGUAGGGAAUCUUCCGCAAUGGACGAAAGUCUGACGGAGCAACGCCGCGUGAGCGAAGAAGGUCUUCGGAUCGUAAAGCUCUGUUGUCAGGGAAGAACAAGUACCGUUCGAACAGGGCGGUACCUUGACGGUACCUGACGAGGAAGCCACGGCUAACUACGUGCCAGCAGCCGCGGUAAUAC